CGCCUUCAGCCGGGAGAGGGUGCUCUCGGAAGGUGAGCUCGAGAAAGCCCUGCGCUCGCUCUAGUGAGUGGCAGCUGAGAACUUUGGGCUCCGUAGGAAGAAGGAAGGGAAGUUGGGAAGGUCUUUGGACCUUGUGGCUUGGCUGUCUUCCUCAUGGCUUCACCCAGCCGCCCCGGCAAUGACUGCUCCCAUGUUAUUGAUCACAGCCAUGUUCCUGAAUUCGAGGUAGCUACCUGGAUCAAAAUCACACUCAUCCUACUGUUCCUGGUCAUCUUUGUGGUGGGCAUCCUGGGGAAUAGUGUCACGAUUCGGGUCACCCAGGUGCUGCAGAAGAAAGGCUACCUGCAGAAGGAGGUGACAGAUCACAUGGUGAGCCUGGCUUGCUCCGACAUCCUGGUCUUCCUCAUUGGUAUGCCCGUGGAGUUCUACAGCAUCAUCUGGAACCCCCUGACCACGCCCAGCUACACCGUAUCCUGUAAGCUUCACUCUUUCCUCUUCGAGACCUGCAGCUACGCUACGCUGCUGCACGUGCUGACGCUCAGCUUCGAGCGCUACAUCGCCAUCUGCCACCCCUUCAGGUAUAAGGCCAUGUCUGGGCCCUGCCAGGUGAAGCUGCUGAUUGGCUUUGUCUGGGUCACCUCUGCCCUGGUGGCCUUGCCUUUGCUUUUUGCCAUGGGAGUUGAAUACCCCUUGGUGGACGUGCCCAGUCACCGGGGGCUCUCUUGCAACCGCUCUCGCAACCACCACUCCGAGCACCCGGAGACCUCCAAUAUGUCCGUCUGCACCAACCUCUCUAGCCGUUGGACUGUGUUCCAGUCUAGCAUCUUUGGUGCCUUCAUCAUCUACUUGGUGGUCCUGGUCUCCGUGGCCUUCAUGUGCUGGAGCAUGAUGCAGGCGCUCCAGAGGAGCAAGCAGGGCACGCUGGCCGCCAAAGGGCAGCAGCUGCAGCUGAGGAAGUCCGAAAGCGAGGAGAGCAGGAGCGCCCGAAGGCAGACCAUCAUCUUCCUGAGUGAGUCUUGGGUGGAGGGCCUCCUGGGAGCAACCCCCACCGCCCUGCCCAUGGUCCUCUUAAGCUUUAAGUGGGUGAACUUAUGUUCGUUGGCACUAAAGAGGCAUCAGUCUGAGCCUCUACAUGUUUCUUCUCUAUUUGGCGGCUUGGGUGUAUGGUCAAAAGAGCACUAGACCAGAAGUCACAAGGUCUGGGUAUAUUCCAGAAUGGCAGCUCUGUGAUGGCUGGCUGAGUCACAAAAUAGCUUGGAUAAAAUGGAGAUGAUAAUACCGCGAUGUGAGGUUUCAGUCAGAUAAUACGGGACAGGUGAAAGUCCAUUGAGAAAGAUCAAGUUCUAUGCAGAUGGAAAGGAGCAUCCUUAUCUAGCCCAUCUUUAUCCUGGAGAACCUAUCUCAGGUAAUUAGAUAGUGUUCCUGUUUUUCUCCUUUGGAGAUGCAUGGCUAUGGGGAACACACACUCUCCAGGCUGCAACUUUCUUUCCCUAGAGUGACAUUCUGCCCAAGUUUUAAGAAACUGGAGCUCUUACACACUGCCCCAAGUUGUGCUUAUGUGUCCACCAUGGUUGGUUUGUUCCUUAUUGUAGCAGAGAAGCAUGGCAGGACCAGGUGGCUUGUUUCUCUGAUUCAGAAAACCUGGCUUCCCCUAUUUCCUAAGAGAAGGACCUGCCUUUUAUGUGACAGGAAGAGGCUGCUGCCCAUUGUCAACAGCCCCCAGGCUUCACAAGAGGGGCCUGGUGGCUGCGCUUUGAGAGAUGGGGCUUUCAUGGAGAUACACAAAGUGUUUGUGAGCAAAGGCUUUUAAAAACUACUUUUUAGCAAAAACAAACAUACAGAAAAGAUACUGUUGUGGGUGUGUGAGUCAAGGGAGGGGUUGAUGGAAUAAAUGUUAGCCCCCUCUCCCAGCCCCCUUUCCCGUGUGGCGUUGGAGAAGGAAUAAAUCAUGCUGCUGUUUGUUUUGGUGUGGGAAACCUGAGUAACAGGUUCCAGGACAAGGUGUUAGUCAUGAGAGAAAAUGGGAAAUUACUUGAAGAGAAGUGGAAACAACUAGGUCUCAGCCCAGCCCAGCGCCUGGCUUCUGGUGUGUCUGUACACCUGACCUGACUUUACUCUGUGUCUGUGCAAAAUGAGAGGGUGGGAGUUGGUGGUUUUUGGAUGGGCUUACUCUGCAUCAGGGGCCGUGCUUUUGACUUACAUUUAUUUCCGUUUCAUAGAAGAGGAAUUUCAGGCUUAGAGAAGACCUGGUUCAAAUGCAUGUUAAGUGCAGCUCUCAGAUUCUAACCUUGCUUCUAAGCUCAUCUUGCUCACUACACAAUAGGCCAAUAAAAGCAACUUUAUUUGGAAAGCCAGCAGACUGAGAAGAUGGUGAACUAGUGUCCCAAAGAACUAUAUUGCUGGUGUUAGAAUUCAAGCUUCUCUUAUAUUAAAAGGGGGGCAGAGGUUGGUUGUCCCAAACUUGGCGUCAGAAUCCUUUCUUGCAGCUGUCAAUUCAGAUCGCCAUGUCCCUUUAAACAUUCAACAAGACAAAUGUUAUUCUUUCUUGUGAAACUUUUUGUCUCUGUAUGAAUGGAAAAGCCUUAUACAUUUAAAGGCCAGAGCCUUGAGAAUAGGCCAUCCUGUAUAUUUCAGGCUAUAGGCAACAUUCUU
Molecule: long non-coding RNA, 2652 nt
Filed under: Sus scrofa (pig)
Lineage: Eukaryota; Metazoa; Chordata; Mammalia; Artiodactyla; Suidae
Description: lncRNA (ENSSSCG00040003244.1)
Source: RNAcentral